RNAcentral lists this ribosomal RNA (2893 nucleotides) under Shigella flexneri. Its description in RNAcentral is "bacterial LSU rRNA". It matches the Rfam family "Bacterial large subunit ribosomal RNA". The record is from RNAcentral. Lineage: Bacteria; Pseudomonadati; Pseudomonadota; Gammaproteobacteria; Enterobacterales; Enterobacteriaceae. RNAcentral also lists the same sequence under 2 other names.
ACUAAGCGUACACGGUGGAUGCCCUGGCAGUCAGAGGCGAUGAAGGACGUGCUAAUCUGCGAUAAGCGUCGGUAAGGUGAUAUGAACCGUUAUAACCGGCGAUUUCCGAAUGGGGAAACCCAGUGUGAUUCGUCACACUAUCAUUAACUGAAUCCAUAGGUUAAUGAGGCGAACCGGGGGAACUGAAACAUCUAAGUACCCCGAGGAAAAGAAAUCAACCGAGAUUCCCCCAGUAGCGGCGAGCGAACGGGGAGCAGCCCAGAGCCUGAAUCAGUGUGUGUGUUAGUGGAAGCGUCUGGAAAGGCGUGCGAUACAGGGUGACAGCCCCGUACACAAAAAUGCACAUACUGUGAGCUCGAUGAGUAGGGCGGGACACGUGGUAUCCUGUCUGAAUAUGGGGGGACCAUCCUCCAAGGCUAAAUACUCCUGACUGACCGAUAGUGAACCAGUACCGUGAGGGAAAGGCGAAAAGAACCCCGGCGAGGGGAGUGAAAAAGAACCUGAAACCGUGUACGUACAAGCAGUGGGAGCACGCUUAGGCGUGUGACUGCGUACCUUUUGUAUAAUGGGUCAGCGACUUAUAUUCUGUAGCAAGGUUAACCGAAUAGGGGAGCCGAAGGGAAACCGAGUCUUAACUGGGCGUUAAGUUGCAGGGUAUAGACCCGAAACCCGGUGAUCUAGCCAUGGGCAGGUUGAAGGUUGGGUAACACUAACUGGAGGACCGAACCGACUAAUGUUGAAAAAUUAGCGGAUGACUUGUGGCUGGGGGUGAAAGGCCAAUCAAACCGGGAGAUAGCUGGUUCUCCCCGAAAGCUAUUUAGGUAGCGCCUCGUGAAUUCAUCUCCGGGGGUAGAGCACUGUUUCGGCAAGGGGGUCAUCCCGACUUACCAACCCGAUGCAAACUGCGAAUACCGGAGAAUGUUAUUACGGGAGACACACGGCGGGUGCUAACGUCCGUCGUGAAGAGGGAAACAACCCAGACCGCCAGCUAAGGUCCCAAAGUCAUGGUUAAGUGGGAAACGAUGUGGGAAGGCCCAGACAGCCAGGAUGUUGGCUUAGAAGCAGCCAUCAUUUAAAGAAAGCGUAAUAGCUCACUGGUCGAGUCGGCCUGCGCGGAAGAUGUAACGGGGCUAAACCAUGCACCGAAGCUGCGGCAGCGACGCUUAUGCGUUGUUGGGUAGGGGAGCGUUCUGUAAGCCUGUGAAGGUGUGCUGUGAGGUAUGCUGGAGGUAUCAGAAGUGCGAAUGCUGACAUAAGUAACGAUAAAGCGGGUGAAAAGCCCGCUCGCCGGAAGACCAAGGGUUCCUGUCCAACGUUAAUCGGGGCAGGGUGAGUCGACCCCUAAGGCGAGGCCGAAAGGCGUAGUCGAUGGGAAACAGGUUAAUAUUCCUGUACUUGGUGUUACUGCGAAGGGGGGACGGAGAAGGCUAUGUUGGCCGGGCGACGGUUGUCCCGGUUUAAGCGUGUAGGCUGGUUUUCCAGGCAAAUCCGGAAAAUCAAGGCCGAGGCGUGAUGACGAGGCACUACGGUGCUGAAGCAACAAAUGCCCUGCUUCCAGGAAAAGCCUCUAAGCAUCAGGUAACAUCAAAUCGUACCCCAAACCGACACAGGUGGUCAGGUAGAGAAUACCAAGGCGCUUGAGAGAACUCGGGUGAAGGAACUAGGCAAAAUGGUGCCGUAACUUCGGGAGAAGGCACGCUGAUACGUAGGUGAAGCGACUUGCUCGUGGAGCUGAAAUCAGUCGAAGAUACCAGCUGGCUGCAACUGUUUAUUAAAAACACAGCACUGUGCAAACACGAAAGUGGACGUAUACGGUGUGACGCCUGCCCGGUGCCGGAAGGUUAAUUGAUGGGGUUAGCGCAAGCGAAGCUCUUGAUCGAAGCCCCGGUAAACGGCGGCCGUAACUAUAACGGUCCUAAGGUAGCGAAAUUCCUUGUCGGGUAAGUUCCGACCUGCACGAAUGGCGUAAUGAUGGCCAGGCUGUCUCCACCCGAGACUCAGUGAAAUUGAACUCGCUGUGAAGAUGCAGUGUACCCGCGGCAAGACGGAAAGACCCCGUGAACCUUUACUAUAGCUUGACACUGAACAUUGAGCCUUGAUGUGUAGGAUAGGUGGGAGGCUUUGAAGUGUGGACGCCAGUCUGCAUGGAGCCGACCUUGAAAUACCACCCUUUAAUGUUUGAUGUUCUAACGUGGACCCGUGAUCCGGGUUGCGGACAGUGUCUGGUGGGUAGUUUGACUGGGGCGGUCUCCUCCUAAAGAGUAACGGAGGAGCACGAAGGUUGGCUAAUCCUGGUCGGACAUCAGGAGGUUAGUGCAAUGGCAUAAGCCAGCUUGACUGCGAGCGUGACGGCGCGAGCAGGUGCGAAAGCAGGUCAUAGUGAUCCGGUGGUUCUGAAUGGAAGGGCCAUCGCUCAACGGAUAAAAGGUACUCCGGGGAUAACAGGCUGAUACCGCCCAAGAGUUCAUAUCGACGGCGGUGUUUGGCACCUCGAUGUCGGCUCAUCACAUCCUGGGGCUGAAGUAGGUCCCAAGGGUAUGGCUGUUCGCCAUUUAAAGUGGUACGCGAGCUGGGUUUAGAACGUCGUGAGACAGUUCGGUCCCUAUCUGCCGUGGGCGCUGGAGAACUGAGGGGGGCUGCUCCUAGUACGAGAGGACCGGAGUGGACGCAUCACUGGUGUUCGGGUUGUCAUGCCAAUGGCACUGCCCGGUAGCUAAAUGCGGAAGAGAUAAGUGCUGAAAGCAUCUAAGCACGAAACUUGCCCCGAGAUGAGUUCUCCCUGACCCUUUAAGGGUCCUGAAGGAACGUUGAAGACGACGACGUUGAUAGGCCGGGUGUGUAAGCGCAGCGAUGCGUUGAGCUAACCGGUACUAAUGAACCGUGAGGCUUAACC